AUGUCUUUGGUGUAAGGUAGCAUAGCGGUCUCCAAAACCGCAGAUGUGGGUUCAAACCCUGCAGGACAUG
This 70-nucleotide transfer RNA is filed under the name Lactobacillus sp. IBH004. RNAcentral describes it as "tRNA-Trp". It matches the Rfam family "tRNA". From Rfam's summary of the family: Transfer RNA (tRNA) molecules are approximately 80 nucleotides in length. The record is from RNAcentral. Lineage: Bacteria; Bacillati; Bacillota; Bacilli; Lactobacillales; Lactobacillaceae.